This 177-nucleotide ribosomal RNA is filed under the name uncultured Acidovorax sp. RNAcentral describes it as "partial 16S ribosomal RNA". It matches the Rfam family "Bacterial small subunit ribosomal RNA", at positions 356 to 526 of the family's 1533-position model. Lineage: Bacteria; Pseudomonadati; Pseudomonadota; Betaproteobacteria; Burkholderiales; Comamonadaceae. The record is from RNAcentral.
UGGGGAAAUUGGAAAUGGGCGAAAGCCUGAUCCAGCCAUGCCGCGUGCAGGAUGAAGGCCUUCGGGUUGUAAACUGCUUUUGUACGGAACGAAAAGACUCCUUCUAAUAAAGGGGGUCCAUGACGGUACCGUAAGAAUAAGCACCGGCUAACUACGUGCCAGCAGCCGCGGUAAUAA